CUUUUUUACCACACUCACCUUAUCAUUUUCACCAUACCUCAUGGAUUUCACUCUAAGCAUUAAUGAGCAUGGAAUUUAUUUCAUAGCCACUUCAUUUACUCCAUGCUCAUAUGCAACAUCUUCCCAAUCCAUUGGUUUUUCCAACAUCACCACAGUCGAGAUCUCCAACACCCUCAUCCUUUCUAUUUAUAAAAACUUUAAAAGGGCGGUUGUAACACCCUAAAAUUUAUAACUCCUGAACUAGGUGAAAAAAUGAUUUAAUUUGUUGUUUUUGUGCCCAUGAAACAUAGGAAAAUAAUAUUUUUCUUAAAAUAAAAUUAAUCAUAGGGUGUAGCAACAUUUUUGUGCACUCAUGCUUAUGCAUUAUAUUUAUUGUGCUGAGUGGUUUUACUAAAGUUCAAAAAAAUAAUUCCAAGUGAUUUUUAAAAAUGGUUUCCCAAAAUGGCUUUAAAGUAAUAAGAAAAGAAAAGAAAAAAAAAAUUAUAAAAAGGGCAAACCCACCCCUCCUUGUUUCUGGCCUGAAUGGCCCAUCAAUCCCUUUUCUUCCCUCGGCCCGUCUCUGUUUUCCCCCUCUCGGUCUGCUUCUCCUCCCCACUGCGCAACAGGCCGGCCCAAGUGCCGCAGCAGGCAGCCAGCCCACACCCUCCCCUUCCCCCUCUUUCACUGACGUGUCGGGACCACUCGUCAGUCGCCUACGCUUCUUCCACCUCGCACCGUAAGCGUGCAGGACUCCCGAUCGGGAGCCAAAUCCCGAUUCGCACGGGAUUUCCUGCCACCCGCGCUCAACCGAGCCUUUUUAAGCCUCUUGCCUCUCCCCAAUUCUCUCCUUUCCCUUCCGGUCCCCGCAAAGAAGCCCUAGCCGUCUCGAGCAUCGAAAACCGAAUCUUGUCGAUAACCUUUUCCGCCUCCGCCCGCAAACAGCACACCUCCGAGCCCUGUCGAUCCGCGCCAGAUGCCUGGGUGAGUUCGCUUUUUCCUCCUCUGCGCUCCUGUGGUCUUGAUUUUGUGUUUGACGCUCGGUUUCGCGAAAACAGCAGUCGCCGGCGAGCUUCGAGGUGGUUUUCUAUGGCGCCGCCGCGCCGGAGCCCCAUCCCAGCGGCCGGCCCCCGUCGUGACCUCCCUGACGAGCUGAGAGCCGUUAGAUGGAGAUCCAACGGUCAUGAAUAGAAGGUAACGGUUCGGUGUUAACUUUGCUAAAGAGCCCCUGCCCUUUUUCAGAGUAAACCCGCGGUCCAAAACGGGUUUUGAAAGUGCGUCUUCCUCUUUUGGAAACGUAAAAGCUCCCGGGUUAAAUCAAAAUACGUUUUCAGUAAUUACAAAAUUGCCACCAGAUUUGUUUAGCUCAUAAAAUCUUCGUUUGAACUCCGAUUUGACCCGUUCAAAUUGCGUUAGAUUCGUAUUCAUGAGCUCUACAUGUUAGUAAAAUUGUUUACUCAGUUUGAAACUUUUUAAUUUCGUGACCCUAUUUAAUUAAUUAUUUAUCUAUAGGAAAUCUUGGAAAAUUCAUAACUUCUACGUUUUAAUUCUGAUUUUCGUGAACUUUACCUUUGUGUGAUCGUAUCACUGCGUAGAAUAUUUUGAUAAAAUUUUAUAUUUGUUUUACCACUGUUUGGUGUAUUGUUCUAAUUAUAGCUUGUUUGCUUUGUGUAUGAUUGUCCCCAUUGGAUUGCAUGUUGUUGAUUGAUGAUCGAGUUUAGUCGGUGAGCUUUAUGUUGGUGAUCAAGGUCAAGCUUUUGACGACCAGCAGCAGGCUCAGGAGAGCUUUGAUCAAGGCAAGUAUAACUAGGGAUUAUCCUUGUUACCUAUAAACAAUUAAUACAAUAUUUAUCAUAUGCAUGUGUCCACCUUGAUGACCUUAGCAAAAUCAUAGAUGAUUGUUAUCCUGAAUUCCUUGUUACCUAAUUGGAUAUGCAUUUGGGUAGUUCUUGCUAGUGCUUAAUUAAUAAUCCAUGAUCUUGUAACAUGAAUAUUUGGAUAUACAAUAAACAAUAAAAUAAGCUUUCUAGCAACUUGAACAUAAAGGGUGGAAAGAACUCUGGCUUUUGACAGAUUGAUCUUGACCCUCCAUAAGGACUUAUCCCUUGGCAAAAGCUGGGACAACUCGUACGACCAUGAGAGCUACAUGGCUCUGGUUUUAGCUCAGUAUGAGGACCUUUUUCUAGCUUGUUAGCGGUUACCUUAAAUGGCGUAAGAAUGGCUAGACACGUUGGGUAUAGUGUGGCCUCUGUCCAUGUGUAUAGGCUGCGGGUUAUGUGCCAUGGAAGGGGGCUCUAUAUCUACCUGCCGAGUGAAUCUAAUGGCCCUAACUUGUUAGAUGAAACCUUUGAAAGGCUUCAUAGUGAUCCCUGCCGACCUCCCUUGGAAUGGGGUUAAGAGACUCAUCACCUCGUGCAAAAGGGUAAAUCACGACUCAUGGGUAAAGGAGAGGCCGAAAGGGGCCAGGCCCAGGGCGCCCGCCCUGAGGACCUGGGCGCCCGCCCCCUCCUGUACUCCGUUCGGGACUCUCUUCGCACAUGAUGUUCCACCGACCUAAUGGAUCAAAGAUAACGUAGUACCACCUCGCUUACCGACCCAAAAACGCAUAGAGGAGGAGGACUAUAUAAGGAGACCCCCUGGCCCCUGGAGGAGACAAGAAGUUAUCAUAGAGAUUUUAGGGGUGCCCUCGAAGGAAAACCUCUUCUCUAAUUAAUAUUUCUUUUUAGGCUUAGCAACCAAUGUAAGUAGAAAUAGAUCUUCUAGUCUCUACUAGAUUGAGAGAGAUAGAGUGGAGGUGUAGAUUGGAGGAAGGCCGGCCUGUCGGUGUCUACUCCAAGCUUGUACCUGCGGGAUCAAGUUCUCCUAACCCGAGGCUUGCUCCUAGCAUUCUUCAGUAUUUCGACUUCUAAAUUCUAGUAAGUUCUUGUUUUAUUGUUCUUUUGGUUUAUGAGUUUACUUUAAUCUCUUCGCGUAGAGUUUAGAGUAAUCAUUGCUGGCGUAAACGUGGUGUUUAGGCUGGGGUACUCAUAGAUAUUCCCUGACUAGCUAGACUGUGGUAGUAGUGAGGAACGUGACAAUUCCGAGUUACCUUUGCAGACCAUAUCUCGUUAGCAGGAAGGAUAGGGUUUAUAGGUGCGGGUUGAACAUCCUUUGUGGUGUCUAGAUUCCGUUAGCCUCCCCGAUAGAACAGUAGAUCAUCCUUACCAAGGUUAGAAGGAGAUUACGGUUGUAGUCUUCUCUAUUUAUCACUCACAUAGAGAACAUUCUUUGUUGCCUUAAGGGUUAGUAGUAAUAGACCGGUUAGUCAGAUGCACUCUUUCUCCUAGUGGUAAAAAAAUAAAUACGAUACUCUGGAUAAUUUCCCGGGUGAAGUGCUCACCAAUAUCCGUGCGCUUGCGGAUCAAUUCCUUAUUGUGUUCCCAAAUAUCAACAAGCAUUUCUGGCGCCGUUGCCUGGGAGAAAGACGGUUUGCUGAGAUAACCUUGAGUCUUACUACUAGCUUGUAUCUAUACUUUUAUCUUUUCUUAUCUUUUAUAUUCUUUAUUUAUUUUCUUUACUCUUACCUUAUGGAAAACCAAAAUUCUAAAUCGAUCCAUGAGUCUGCAAUCCCUUCACUAACUGACCUUUUACCAUGGGAGUUAUCACAGCCUAUCCAAACAUCCUCGUAUAAGUUAAGCUCUAGGUUGAUUGCCAUGAUUCAAAACCUAUCUUUUUCGGGAAAGGAAGACGAAAAGCCUUACCUUCAUAUUAGAGAUUUUGAGCAAACAUGUGAUUGUCUUCGUAUUGAAGGCAUUUCUGAUAAAACUUUACGUUGGAAGCUUUUUCCUUUUUCUUUAAGGGGAGAAGCUAGACAAUGGUACAGUCAGAAGGUAAGUCAACAACGAGGUGAAUGGGGAGUUUUACGAGCCAACUUUUGUCUAGAUUUCUAUUCCCUCGACCGUAUAGCCGAUCUUAGACUCGAAGUCCUAUCUUUUAAACAAAAAGAUAAUGAAACUUUGGGAAAAUCCUGGAAACGUUUUUCUGAUCUUUUAGAAUCUGGUCCAAACCUUAAUCUUGAAGACCCUGUUCUUUUAUUCCACUUUUUUCGAGGUCUUCAUAAAAAUCACAAACAAAUGCUACACACAAUGUCUAGAGGUUCUUUCUUUCGCAUCCCUACUGAUGAAGCUAGAGUGAUCCUAGAUAGAAUCCUAGAAGCUGAGAUGGAUAAUACCCAUCAUGAUGAAACCUACGAAGCCGAAGUAGACACUUUGCCAAAUUCUUCAUCUACUUUAGCUAUCCCAAGUUCUGAGCCACAAGAGGAAGAAAUUCCACCACCAGACUUCAUGCUGGAUAUAGAAUCCGAUCUUUUUGCCGAUUUUGGGAACAUUUCAAACUACCAUUCUAUUGACAGUUUAGCAUUUAUUUGCCAAGUGAAUAUCAAAUGAGAGAGCUUAUCUCAGUCAUGAGUAGCGAAUGGUUGGAGGAAUCAGAGCUUUCCUCUGAGGUGAUCCGUUUGGACACAACCUCUAUAACUAUACGCUGUGCUUAUAAUUCUGAUCGAUUUAAUGCUCUUUAUAAUCCUGUUGUGGGGAUCAACAUCAUGUCUGAAUCUUUUGCACUUAAACUAUUUAAGAAUCUUGUCUUAACCCCCACAACAAAGGUCAUAAAGGAAUCUUCGGGAUGUUUAGUCCCCAGUCUUGGAAUUAUUAAUGUCCUACCUCUUACGGUAGAAGGCUCCAUGGUUCAUUUGAACUUCUAUAUCUUUGAUACAUGGGACUUCGACCUGUUGAUAGGACAACCUUUUAGAAGACUCCUUUAUGAAGGUCAUACUGGAAAGCUACACAUUUCUUUUGGAAAAGCUUUUAAAUUCCCAAUAACAAUUUCACACUCCUUAAACAAUAAGGCCGAGUCAUAUCUUUUGCCUGAUCCUAUGGAGGAGGUAAAGGCUGCAUCUCUGGAGCUUUUAGAUGAACCAGACUUAGAAGACGAAACUCUUUUCUUCACAGAAGAAGAAGCCGAGCCUUCUGAACCUAAACCCUUAGAUGAGUUUGCAGAAGCACCUAGACCCCCCAUAGAGCUUAAAACUUUACCACCCAGUCUUACCUAUGCUUUCCUAAACAAUAAUCCAGAGUUUCCUGUGAUCAUUAGUGAUAAACUCACUCAGGAGCAAACUCUGCGAUUAAUGACCAUUCUUGAGAAAUAUCACUCAGUUUUCGGUUACUCACUCCAAGAUCUUAUAGGAAUCAGUCCUAUGAUUUGUACCCAUCGUAUUCCAACAGAUCCUUCUGUUUCUCCUUCUCAAGAACCCCAACGUAGACUUAAUAACACUAUGAGAGAGGUAGUUAAAAAGGAAGUUAUAAAGUUGCUGCAUGCAGAGAUUAUAUAUCCUGUGCCGCACAGUGAGUGGGUAAGCCCAGUACAAGUUGUGCCUAAAAAGGGAGGCAUGACCGUUAUUAUGAAUGAAAAGAACGAGCUAAUUCCGCAAUGCACCGUCACAGGAUGGCAGAUGUGCAUAGACUAUAGAAAACUAAACAAAGCCACGAGAAAGGAUCACUUUCCUUUACCUUUUAUAGAUGAGAUGCUAGAGCGGUUAGCAAACCAUUCGUUCUUCUGUUUCUUAGAUGGAUACUCAGGGUAUCAUCAGAUCCCGAUCCAUCCCGAUGAUCAAAGCAAAACCACUUUUACAUGCCCAUAUGGAACUUAUGCUUAUCGUAGAAUGUCUUUUGGGUUAUGUAAUGCACCAACUUCUUUUCAAAGAUGCAUGAUGUCUAUAUUUUCUGAUAUGAUUGAAGAGAAUAUGGAAGUUUUCAUGGAUGAUUUCUCUGUUUAUGGAAAAACUUUUGAUAGUUGUCUUGAAAACUUAGACAAGGUUUUGCAAAGAUGUGAAGAAAAGCACUUAGUCCUUAAUUGAGAAAAAUGUCAUUUUAUGGUUAGGGAAGGAAUAGUGCUGGGACACCUAGUGUCUGAAAGAGGUAUUGAGGUAGACAAAGCUAAAAUUGAAGUAAUUGAACAACUACCUCCACCUGUGAAUAUAAAAGGAAUUCGAAGCUUUCUUGGCCAUGCUGGUUUUUAUCGUAGAUUCAUAAAAGAUUUUUCAUUUAUUGCUAGACCACUUACUCUUUUGCUAGCGAAGGAUGCUCCUUUCGAAUUUGAUGAUGCAUGUCUAACAUCUUUCAAUUUAUUAAAGAAAGCACUCAUCUCUGCACCAAUCAUUCAACCCCCUGAUUGGUCGUUGCCUUUUGAAAUUAUGUGUGAUGCUAGUGAUUAUGCUGUGGGGGCAGUAUUGGGACAGACUAAAAAUAAGAAGCAUCAUGCAAUUGCUUAUGCCAGUAAAACUUUGAUAGGAGCUCAACUUAAUUAUGCAACCACUGAAAAAGAGCUUCUGGCUGUUGUCUUUGCCAUUGAUAAAUUUAGAUCUUAUUUAGUUGCAGCUAAAAUAAUUGUUUACACUGAUCAUGCUGCACUAAAAUAUUUGCUCACUAAAAAAGAUGCUAAACCUCGCCUGAUUAGAUGGAUCUUAUUACUUGAAGAAUUUGACUUAGAAAUAAAAGAUAAAAAGGGAGUAGAAAAUUCUGUUGCUGAUCACUUGUCUAGAAUGUAUUUUAAGAGUCCACAGGAAACCCCCAUCAAUGAGUCACUCCGGGAUGACAUGCUCUACGGGAUUAACAGGUCUGACCCCUGGUAUGCAGAUAUUGUUAAUUUUAUGGUUUCAGGGUAUGUACCACCAGGAGCAAACAAGAAGAAGCUUAUUCAAGAAAGUCGUUCACAUAUAUGGGAUGAGCCAUACCUCUCUCGAGUAUGCUCUGAUGGCUUACUCAGAAGAUGUGUGACCACUGAGGAAGGAUGGAAGAUCAUCGACAGAUGUCAUUCAUCACCAUAUGGAGGUCACUAUGGAGCAUUCCGUACACAUUCAGAGAUCUGGCAGUGUGGAUUCUACUGGCCUACAAUGUAUGAAGACACGAAGCAAUAUAUCAGAAGAUGUGGGCCAUGUCAAAGCCACGGAAACAUAAAUACAAGGGAUGCAAUGCCACUCACCAACAACCUUCAGAUUGAGCUCUUUGAUGUCUGGGGAAUAGACUACAUGGGUCCAUUUCCUCCAUCAAAGAAAUGUGAGUACAUCUUGGUGGCAGUUGACUAUGUCUCCAAGUGGGUAGAGGCACUACCUUGCAAGCAUGCCGACAACAUCAGUUCAAAGAGGAUGUUUGAAGAAAUUAUAUUUCCAAGAUUUGGAGUCCGCAGAGUAGUGAUAAGUGAUGGAGGAGCACACUUCAUCGACAAAUGCUUCAAGCAAUAUCUAUCAAAACAUGGAAUCCGUCACAACGUCGCUACCCCCUAUCAUCCUCAGACAAGUCGCCAAGCAGAGACUUCCAACAAACAAAUCAAGAAUAUUCUUCAGAAGAUAGUAAAUGAAAUGGGAACGGCAUGGAAAGACAAGUUACCCGAUGCACUCUGGGCAUACCGGACAGCAUACAAGACCCCAAUUGGAAUGUCUCCAUACCAAUUGGUGUACGGGAAGACUUGUCAUCUACCCGUUGAACAAGAGUUCAAAGCACACUGGGCCAUAAAGAGAUGGAAUAUGGACCUAGAUGUUGCUGGAGAUUAUAGAAGAAUGCAACUAUCAGAAUUAGAAGAAUGGCGAGAGAAGGCAUAUCACAACUGAAAGAUCUACAAGGAAAGAGUCAAAAGGUGGCAUGACAAGAGAAUCAAGAAGAAGGAGUUCACACCCGGAGAUAAGGUAUUACUUUUUAAUUCUAGGGUGAAGCUUUUCGGGCAUGGAAAACUCCGGAGCAAGUGGGAAGGACCAUUCAAGGUAAUUAAUUCAUCAUCCCACGGAGCUAUCACACUCCAAAAUGACGAAGGUACAUUAUUCAAGGUAAAUGGUCAACGUCUUAAAUUAUUUUUAGAGCCCAAUAAAGAAUUAGAAGAAAAAGACGUAGUCCAUUUUUACCUUCCCAUGGAGAACUAGAGCCCGACCUUUUUAGUCUGAUGUUUUUGGGUCAUACAUAUAUUUUGCAUCUAGAAACGCGCUCAAGAAAGUGGGCCCACAGAUGGGCCAGAGAGAGGGCGGGCGCCCAGAUCAGGUGGGCGGGCGCCCAGCUCCUGUUCCCCCUCGGUCCCGAUUUUCUCUGUUAUGGAAAAUGCACUUAUGGUAAUCCGAUUAAUCCCUCAGAUGGAAAGUUUCGCACGCACAUCGACGAGAGCAACCCAAACAACCCAUAGAGGCACUUUUUGACCCCUAUAUAAACAGACCCCUGUCCUCAGUUUUCAAACACCAAGCCACCAAGCCUUCUCUUCUUCAAUUAGAGCUUGAUUAGUUCCUUGCUACUCCAAUGGCCGAGAAGUACCACGAUGAUUGGGAAGUCGUCCCCUUCAACCUCAACAUGGAGCCUGUGGAAGACCCCGAUGCCCGUGCUCUCGUCCCGGCCAACACAGAGCGACGGCUAGAAGCCAUGCCAUUACGCCAACGCAGCUCCGCCCAAUCUUACCAUGCUCAACCAGUUCUCACCGCACCGCCACAACCCCUACUUCUCAAGGGAUCAUCAUCCAAGACGAAGACCACCAUCAAGGUGCCAACCGGCACAAGGAUCCUUCCACCUAGACCCAAUGAGAGGGUCGUUGGAGUCAAGACCAACCGGAGCGGCGAGAUCAGCAGCAUUCGCUACACUACGUAGGAGGAAAGGCCUUACUUCGAAUGGAUUAGAGCAGCCAAAGUCCGUUUCAUCCCUCCAAAGGCAGCCCCGAAGCACGCUCUCAAUGCUUUUGAGACACCUCGCAAGCGUCGCAAAACUAUAAUGGAUAUUGAUGAGGACGUUCUCAGACUAGACAGAGUUAUCAUAGACCUCCAGUCCUCGAUUAAUUCCCUCACUAGACAGCUCUCUAACCACAACACCGUUAUACUAGGCCUUAGGCAUGAUCUUGCCAGUGCCAACAAGAAGAUUAAGGAAUUAGAGCGCCGCUAAGUUAUCUAGAUUAGACAUUGAGGCAAUGCAUCUUAGUCAUGUAUCAUUAAAUUCGGUUUAGGUUUACUAUUAUUGUCAGUUUGUUACUAUUAUCAUCAGUUUGCUAUUAUCAUCAGUUUGCUACUAGUCUUUUGUAAUAAAUGCCUCAAGAUUGAUAAAGAGUAUUAUUAUUAUUAUUAUGUCUUGUGUGUCUCUACUUUAUUUUUGUGCAAGAAAGCAGAAAACAAGUAUGGGGGAGAUCCCUCAACAUGCCAAACACACUCUGACUACACCACUCCACGAUUUAGGUACAUACUCUGCACACUUUACUUUACACAUACACAUAUAUUGGAUUAUGCAGAAUACUGUUUCCGACAUGAUAAAUUAAAAAGAUUAAAAUGUUUCUAAUCAUGAUUAAUCUCAUUCUGUAAUAUUUCCUGAAACUUGCAACUAUUAUAAAAUCAUUUUUAAAACCCUGUGUUUCUUAAAGACAAUAUGGAAUGUGAGAUGGUAGAGUAUGAGUUUCUUAUUCUUGAUAUCAUUGUUGCUUGGAGAAUUCAUUUCAAAAUCUUUAAAAUUCUAGCUACCAUCCUCAAUGUUUUAUAUGCCUGAUAAAUCUGAAAAUAUUAAUUAUAGCUAUCUACUCUGUAUUGAGUUUGUUCAAAAUGAGUUAGACCCUUGUUGAGAGAUUUAUCAUGCUCCUAAGAUCAAGACAUUUAUUUAGAAAGAUUCACUCUUCUGAAGUAUUAUUGCAUUAGAGGCAUGGGCCAUGCAAAAAUAAAGAUAUUUCGAGGAAAUAAAAAGGAGCAAGUGCUCGACAACCUCGCAGAAAAAAAUGGACAAGUGUCCGGCAGUAGAAUUAGGGGUACCUCGGUAUCCACUUUAAAAAAAAGAGAAAAUGAUAGCCCAUGGUCCCUCUAAUAAGCAAUAUGCCAGCAAGAGUUGACAAAGAUUUUAAUUUCCAAAGUCAUUGAUCUAAGAGUAUGACAUUCCCCUCCUCGGAUCCCGAUUUGAUCAUGCAAUAAAUGCAAAGUAAGUAUGCUUGAGAAUUUUUGCAAAUUAAAACAGCCUCAGUGAGAUAUAUAUAAAAGAUAAUGAGUGAUCUGAGAGAACCUAUGAGGAUAAAAAGGUAUGCUAACUUUCUUUCAAAAAUAUACAAAAACUCCAAGUGACGAGAUUGAGAAGAAAGGAUCUUUACUCUUAACCAUAAACUUCCCUAACUAUGGUACAUAGUGGAUUUUUAACACCCUGCAAUUAUAAAGAGAAUGUUUUAAAAUGUUUACCCCAGAUAUUUUUCUUAACCAUCUUUUUCUCGAGGACGAGUAAAAGCCUAAGUAUGGGGGUAUUUGUUGACAGUUCUUAAGUAUCAAUUUUAAUUAUCAAAUAAACAAGAGAAAGGACCAAUAUGCAAACAACACCUAGAAUUAGGGUUUGAUCUGACAAAAUUCCAUGAGUUUUGUGGUUUAUCUAUUUCUACAGGGGGUUAUCAGGAAAUAAGGAAGAAAGGCCCACAUGUCGGGAUUACAUAGAGAUAUCAAUGUACCGCGUGAUUUUCUACCAUCUAGAAGACUCCAGAAGCCACUGUAAGAAAGCAGUGGCCGAAAGGGGCCAGGCCCAGGGCGCCCGCCCUGAGGACCUGGGUGCCCGCCCCCUCCUGUACUCCGUUGGGGACUCUCUUCGCACAUGAUGUUCCACCGACCUAAUGGAUCAAAGAUAACGUAGUACCACCUCGCUUACCGACCCAAAAACGCAUAGAGGAGGACUAUAUAAGGAGACCCCCCUAGCCCCUGGAGGAGACAAGAAGUUAUCAUAGAGAUUGAGGGGUGCCCUCGAAGGAAAACCUCUUCUCUAAUUAAUAUUUCUUUUUAGGCUUAGCAACCAAUGUAAGUAGAAAUAGAUCUUCUAGUUUCUACUAGAUUGAGAGAGAUAGAGUGGAGGUGUAGAUUGGAGGAAGGCCGGCCUGUCGGUGUCUACUCCAAGCUUGUACCUGCGGGAUUAAGUUCUCCUAACCCGAGGCUUGCUCCUAGGAUUCUUUAGUAUUUCGACUUCUAAAUUCUAGUAAGUUCUUGUUUUAUUGUUCUUUUGGUUUAUGAGUUUACUUUAAUCUCUUCGCGUAGAGUUUAGAGUAAUCAUUGCUGGCGUAAACGUGGUGUUUAGGCUGGGGUACUCAUAGAUAUUCCCUGACUAGCUAGACUGUGGUAGUAGUGAGGAACGUGACAAUUCUGAGUUACCUUUGAAGACCAUAUCUCGUUAGCAGGAAGGAUAGGGUUUAUAGGUGCGGGUUGAACAUCCUUUGUGGUGUCUAGAUUCCGUUAGCCUCUCCGAUAGAACAGUAGAUCAUCCUUACCAAGGUUAGAAGGAGAUUACGGUUGUAGUCUUCUCUAUUUAUCACUCACAUCGAGAACAUUCUUUGUUGCCUAAAGGGUUAGUAGUAAUAGACCGGUUAGUUAGAUGCACUCUUUCUUCUAGUGGUAAAAAAUAAAUACGAUACUCUGGAUAAUUUUCCGGGUGAAGUGCUCACCGAUAUCCAUGCGCUUGCGGAUCAAUUCCUUAUUGCAUUCCCAAAUAUCAACAUGGAGAGGAGUUAAUACCCGAAGUUUAGAGUCGUCUAUCCGCUGUUUGAUGCUAAAGGUUAUCUCUUUUAUAUUAAGUACGUUAUAUAAUUUAUGCAUUGUCUUUUGAUAUUACCCCUUAUUUGUAGCUAUAUGGGAGUUUUGACUUCUAAAACUCACAUAUGGUGCAUAUCUGGUUUUAUCCUUAAAAUCGGGUAUUACAAAGUGGUAUCAGAGCAAUGCUAACUGUAGGACGCAAGCCUAGUUAGAAAUUUGUCGUCUUAAGGUUUUUGAAUUGUCAUAAAAUCCUUGCUCUAUAAAUCUUGGUAUUUUCAUCCAUACUAUAUCCCUAUCCUUGCUAUUUGUCUCUACCUUGUUGCUUAUUUUAAAAGUACUUGUUCUCAUCUUCACUCCUUGAUUUGAUAAGCUUUUAGAAUCUUCUCUUACCACCUGCUUACGUAGUUGAAAAAGAAUUUUAGGAUCUUUACCCUUACUAUGAAGAGAACGAUAGUAUCGCAAGUUGCGUGAAGUGUGAACCUUCGAUGCUUAAUUGGUUUGUUAUUAUGUUUAUGCUUGAUUUGGAUCUUUGUAAUGAUUGCAAUGAUCUUGUGGAUUUUUUUCACAAUUUCAUUUAGUUUAUAGGCCCAAGGCAUAAGGAGUAAUGAAAUAAGUAGUUGGGUUUGGUUAUAUCCUGUUUCUAUCCUUUGCUGAUUUCUGGAGCAGUCUGCAAUGUUUUUAGUAUAUCUCAAGUUCUGAUCGUGCAAAGUUUGUCAACUUUUUCUGGGAAGAACUAGACUUCAAGAGCUUUCUCUGACCUCAAGAUUCACCCACAUAGCUAUUAUGGUUUGGAAGUUACAAAAAUCACAAGAUGAUACAACUGUGCUGUCAAGAAUCAGGACCAGUUUUGGUUGCCUACUAUUUGAGACAAAUAUAGCUAUAGAAUUUGGAAAAGCGUUCUAUAGAAAAGAUGUAGACAAUUUACUAUGAUUUCAAACAGUAUAAGCUGGAACUAAUUUGGAUUAGUAGAACCUGAGAUAUGACAUUUACACUUGGAUGUUUCUGUUCUGUAUCAAAGUCUGGACAGUUUUGGUAUUCCCUAUUUCCGGCCAAGUUAAAGACAGAAUCUGGGAAAACAUGGUAUACGAAAGUUGUAGAGGAUUUCCUAAGCUUUUCAAAAAUGUAGGGAUCAUCUCCAGAUGAGUUAAGUAGCUCGAGAUAUAAUUUUUGGAAUUUACUGCACCUUUGCUGAGACAUUAUCAGGAAGGAUAUUAUAUUGGUUGUUUUACCUAAGCUUAGAGACAGAAUCUAAGGAAUGCUUCUAUAUGAAAGUUGUAGGGAAUUUCAUACGUUUUCUAACGGUAUAAGCUACAACUCUAUUGGAUUAACAGAAUAAGAGUUAUACCUAUUUUACUACGUUGGUGUUUUCAUAUCGCGAGGAAAUUUCACGAUACUUGUUUGCUCCAUUGCACAUAAGUUCUUUGGGAUGUCAAAAGGUCUCAGUGCUAGUCAACUUGUCAGGAAAAUAUGCAAGCUACCUUCCUUUUGUCCCCUAGUUGACUUUUCUUAAGGGGGGUAGCCUAGUUAAAGGAGUUACAACGAGAAGGAUUGGCUAGUGUUGGAUCAUAUGUGAGGAUCACCAGCUCUUGGUAAAUUGGUUUUGAUUCAAGAUAUCAUCUCAUUUAGAGAAUAUUAAUGGAGAUAUAUGUCAUUGCUGAUACUCAUGGAUUGAGAGUUAUGCUAUGAGGAUCAGAUGACACCAAAGUCUACAAAGCUAUAUGUACAAAGUGAGAGUGAAGCAACUUAACCGUGAUAAAGGUACCGAUAAUUGGAACUUAGUGAUGAAACUAACCUUGGAUCAAGAGACUCGGUACAACGAAUGCAAAGGACUAUGAUGUGUAGCGUACAAAAAAGAUAGGAGAACUAGUCCCUAGUGUUCCCCAAUCAACCUCGUCUUAAGGGGGGUAGUACCUUGAUAUCACGGAUGAUGUAUUUCAAAACUAUCUUGAAAUGAUAAUUGUCUUCUGAGAUAUCCUAUGGUUAUGUGCACAUAUGUUACCCAGUGGAAAAUUUUCUUAGCCGCACCAUCAGGGAAAAGAAUUGAGUAUCAAGGUGGCCCACUCCUACCUGAGGAGGCAAAUCCAUGCCAAGUUAUCAUGACUUUGAGUCGUAAGUCAAAAGGUUGGAAUUCAAGAUAGAAUUUGAUCAAUUAUGAACAAUAAACAUCCUAUGGAAACUUUGUUCAUAAGUUAUGAUCCCGAGACACAAGUGUUUGCAGUUGGAAUGCAAGUGUGAAGUUGAAAGAGUAUUAAGAUUUUUUCCUGUUUCUCUUUUGGAAUCCGUGCCUCUUCCGAAUCUCGAGGACGAGAUUCAUUUUAAGGGGGGCUAGAUUUGUAACACCCUAAAAUUUAUAACUCCUGAACUAGGUGAAAAAAUGAUUUAAUUUGUUGUUUUUGUGCCCAUGAAACAUAGGAAAAUAAUAUUUUUCUUAAAAUAAAAUUAAUCAUAGGGUGUAGCAACAUUUUUGUGCACUCAUGCUUAUCCAUUAUAUUUAUUGUGCUGAGUGGUUUUACUAAAGUUCAAAAAAAUAAUUCCAAGUGAUUUUUAAAAAUGGUUUCCAAAAAUGGCUUUAAAGUAAUAAGAAAAGAAAAGAAAAAAAACUUAUAAAAAGGGCAAACCCACCCCUCCUUGUUUCUGGCCUGAAUGGCCCAUCAAUCCCUUUUCUUCCCUCGGCCCGUCUCUGUUUUCCCCCUCUCGGCCUGCUUCUCCUCCCCACUGCGCAACAGGCCGGCCCAAAUGCCGCAGUAGGCAGCCAGCUCGCACCCUCCCCUUCCCCCUCUUUCACUGACGUGUCGGGACCACUCAUCAGUCGCCUGCGCUUCUUCCACCUCGCGCCAUAAGCGUGCAGGACUCCCGACCGGGAGCCAAAUCCCGAUUCGCACGGGAUUUACUACCACCCGCGCUCAACCGAGCCUUUUUAAGCCUCUCGCCUCUCCCCAAUUCUCUCCUUUCCCUUCCGGUCCCCGCAAAGAAGCCCUAGCCAUCUCGAGCAUCGAAAACCGAAUCUUGUCGAUAACCUUUUCCGCCUCCGCCCGCAAACAGCACACCUCCGAGCCCUAUCGAUCCGCGCCGGACGCCUGGGUGAGUUCGCUUUUUCCUCCUCUGCGCUCCUAUGGUCUUGAUUUUGUGUUUGACGCUC
This 14642-nucleotide long non-coding RNA is filed under the name Sorghum bicolor (sorghum). RNAcentral describes it as "long non-coding RNA (SBIC_LNC001107)". The record is from RNAcentral. Lineage: Eukaryota; Viridiplantae; Streptophyta; Magnoliopsida; Poales; Poaceae.